RNAcentral lists this ribosomal RNA (478 nucleotides) under uncultured Allobrachymonas sp. Its description in RNAcentral is "bacterial SSU rRNA". It matches the Rfam family "Bacterial small subunit ribosomal RNA", at positions 49 to 525 of the family's 1533-position model. The record is from RNAcentral. Lineage: Bacteria; Pseudomonadati; Pseudomonadota; Betaproteobacteria; Burkholderiales; Comamonadaceae.
UUACCAUGCAGUCGAACGGUAACAGGUCUUCGGAUGCUGACGAGUGGCGAACGGGUGAGUAAUGUAUCGGAACGUGCCCAGUAGUGGGGGAUAACUACUCGAAAGAGUGGCUAAUACCGCAUGAGAACUGAGGUUGAAAGCGGGGGACCUUCGGGCCUCGCGCUACUGGAGCGGCCGAUAUCAGAUUAGGUAGUUGGUGGGGUAAAGGCCUACCAAGCCGACGAUCUGUAGCUGGUCUGAGAGGACGACCAGCCACACUGGGACUGAGACACGGCCCAGACUCCUACGGGAGGCAGCAGUGGGGAAUUUUGGACAAUGGACGCAAGUCUGAUCCAGCAAUGCCGCGUGCAGGACGAAGGCCUUCGGGUUGUAAACUGCUUUUGUACAGAACGAAAGGGCUCUGGUUAAUACCUGGGGCAGAUGACGGUACUGUAAGAAUAAGCACCGGCUAACUACGUGCCAGCAGCCCGGGGUAAUA